AGUGAACGCUGGCGGUAGGCCUAACACAUGCAAGUCGAACGGCAGCACAGUAAGAGCUUGCUCUUACGGGUGGCGAGUGGCGGACGGGUGAGGAAUACAUCGGAAUCUACUUUUUCGUGGGGGAUAACGUAGGGAAACUUACGCUCAUACCGCAUACGACCUACGGUUGAAAGCAGGGGAUCUUCGGACCUUGCGCGAUCGAAUUAGCCGAUGUCGGAUUAGCUAGUUGGCGGGGUAAAGGCCCACCAAGGCGACGAUCCGUAGCUGGUCUGAGAGGAUGAUCAGCCACACUGGAACUGAGACACGGUCCAGACUCCUACGGGAGGCAGCAGUGGGGAAUAUUGGACAAUGGGCGCAAGCCUGAUCCAGCCAUACCGCGUGGGUGAAGAAGGCCUUCGGGUUGUAAAGCCCUUUUGUUGGGAAAGAAAAGCAGCAGGUUAAUACCCCGCUGUUCUGACGGUACCCAAAGAAUAAGCACCGGCUAACUUCGUG
RNAcentral lists this ribosomal RNA (492 nucleotides) under uncultured bacterium. RNAcentral's name for it is "partial 16S ribosomal RNA". It matches the Rfam family "Bacterial small subunit ribosomal RNA", at positions 29 to 507 of the family's 1533-position model. The record is from RNAcentral.